Molecule: long non-coding RNA, 371 nt
Filed under: Elaeis guineensis (African oil palm)
Lineage: Eukaryota; Viridiplantae; Streptophyta; Magnoliopsida; Arecales; Arecaceae
Description: long non-coding RNA (EGUI_LNC014818)
Source: RNAcentral
AGACGAGAAGAUAUCUUGAUGGUCAAUGCUUUCGCGCUAACUAUAUACUUUCGCUAUGAGCCUAAUUUUAAAGAUCUCUACCUUUUCAUCUACACCUAUCUUUUUCUUGAAGAUCUAUUUAUACCUAAUAUGUACAAUACCUUCAGAUAGAUCUAUCAAGGUCUAGACUUAGUUUGAGUGCAUCGAGUCAAUUUCUAACUUUGUUGCCUCUAACCAUUUCUCAAAAUCGAUAUCUAAUAUCACUUUGUUAUAGAUUUUGGGGUCAUCUCCAUAUACCCUAUUUUCUAUGAAAAAUAUUUUUUCUACAUCCUUUGAGAUAAUACCUAAGUAUCUCUUAGGAGGAUGAAAAAUCCUACUAGAUUUAGGAGGUG